This 51-nucleotide non-coding RNA is filed under the name Thiomonas sp. X19. Its description in RNAcentral is "Xanthine riboswitch aptamer (NMT1 RNA)". It matches the Rfam family "Xanthine riboswitch aptamer (NMT1 RNA)". Rfam says of the family: Later it was reported as a ncRNA that recognised Xanthine. The record is from Rfam by way of RNAcentral. Lineage: Bacteria; Pseudomonadati; Pseudomonadota; Betaproteobacteria; Burkholderiales. RNAcentral also lists the same sequence under 1 other name.
GGCGUGAGUAGAAGCGGUCAGCAGCUCAGGCUGCGGGACAUUGCUCCAGCC